GACGAACGCUGGCGGCAUGCUUUACACAUGCAAGUCGAACGGCAGCACGGGGGCGAACCCUCGGUGGCGAGUGGCGAACGGGUGAGUAACACAUCGGAACGUGUCCAGUUGUGGGGGAGUAACCCAUCGAAAGGUGGGCGUAAUACCGCAUGAGCUGGCAACAGGAAAGCGGGGACCCGCAAGGCCUUGUGCGAUUGGAGCGGCCGAUGUCCGAUUAGCUAGUUGGUGGGGUAAAGGCCUACCAAGGCUUCGAUCGGUAGCUGGUCUGAGAGGAUGAUCAGCCACACUGGGACUGAGACACGGCCCA
Molecule: ribosomal RNA, 307 nt
Filed under: uncultured bacterium
Lineage: Bacteria
Description: bacterial SSU rRNA
Rfam family: Bacterial small subunit ribosomal RNA
Source: RNAcentral